Molecule: long non-coding RNA, 1694 nt
Filed under: Anas platyrhynchos platyrhynchos (common mallard)
Lineage: Eukaryota; Metazoa; Chordata; Aves; Anseriformes; Anatidae
Description: lncRNA (ENSAPLG00000017931.1)
Source: RNAcentral
CCAGGGAAAUGUCCCAAAGAUGGGACUGGGCUUUGCCCAGUCUGCAUUACCUAAAGAUUAACUAGGUCUAAAGUUCCAUUCAGUUCUUCAGCAGUGGCAACUUUGAUCUCUAGUGGUCUAUGACACUGCAGAACAAGAAACAAAAGCUGCAUGCCGCUGGAAAUAGGAGGGAACCCAGGUUUUAGCCCUGGGAUGUUAUAUAAGAACUGCAUAACUUUGACUCUCUGGAUUCUGCUGGCAUCAGCUGAAAUGCAGCAGGAGGAGAUAUCCACCACCUUGACAUCCUAUGUGAAUCAAGCUCACAGCAACCACCUCCAAGUAAACAGAUAUAUAGCAAGGCCACCCCAGUUGAGGCAGAAAAAGGAAGCCAAUGAGAAUUCAAUACUUCAGUAUUGGCAGACUUUGGCAGUUCUGCAAGAAUGACCAACCUGUGUCUUGAAGGGCAGAAGUUCAUGAACAAAUGGAAGAUGGAUGCAGAAGGAAAGAAGACAGAGUCAACAAGUUAAAGCAUCAGCAGGGAAAUUACACAGAUAGUAUUACUUCACCAAGAGAGAUAGGAGGAAACAGAUCCAAACCAUUCUACAGAAACAUUCACCAAGCUGGAAACAUGAAGAGUAAGAGAACACCCAGCUGAGGAGAAAUUAGGAGGAAUAAUGUGUGUUGGUAGAUUAAAGAACUGACUGAUUACAGAACUGAAUAAUUAAGUGGAAUAUUGUGCAAUGCAGUACUACAGGCAAAAUACAAAAGAGAGAGCAAUUUCCUGAAGGGUGCAAUCAGCAAACUGGGAUUUUCUGAGCUUUUUAAGUGAAAAUGUGUUGUAUUACUCUUGUGUGAGGGGAGGCAGCCUUAAGCUUAGUUGCACCAUCCUCAGUGAAGCAAAGGAAGAGAUUGUUCCUGAGAGAAUGAAGAGCCUCCUAUAAUGGACUGAUGUGCAUGAUGGGUAGUGACUUCAUGCCUUUAUUUAACACAGCAAACUUGUUUUUUGUAGUGCCUCUGCUCCAUGGACAAAGAGGAAUUUCUCUGUGUAUUCUUUUUACCAAGAUACAUGGGAACUUACUGAGAUUUAACCUGGAAAACAAAGAAUUAGGAAAGCAAAUUUAAACAUCUGCAUAUGCCAGCAAGGACAGUCAACAAUCGGCCCUUAUUUUCUGGGUGUGCUUUUUGGUCACCUGUGGGAAAUACUUUGUUGCAAAAAUGGAGCUUCCUUUUCCAGAGGGGUCCAAAACAGCCACCAGUUUAUGGAACCGUGGUUGUCAUGCACUGGGGGAUAUGGUUGAAGCAAACACAAAUCUUUAGCAAUUUCCCAGUCUGUGCUUGCCUUCAGAGCUACCUUAGAUGAGUGCUCAAAGAUUAUAUAACCUGGCAGCAGCUCUUUAGGCUGGUUUGUGAGCCUACAAUAUUUGCCAUAGCUUGCUUAAACUAAAAAAGUUGUGCUUGAUCAGGGUUAUUUAAAUACUGUUGUCACAAGUGUAGCUUCUCUCAGAUGUCAGACAUCAUCACGUUUUUUCUAAUUAAAACAGUUUGCAAUAAUUAAAUUGUAUGUGGCUGUAUUUCUACUUAGAAAAGGCUAAAUAGUUGGCAAGCCUCCUAAAGUAGGAUUAGACUGCAGACCAGCUCAGACAAUGCUUCCAGGCAUUGGGGAUGUACUGCAAAAUGAGUUUAAUAAAGUCUGAUUAGAUUACUUUCUCUGGUCA